This 57-nucleotide transfer RNA is filed under the name Bos taurus (domestic cattle). It matches the Rfam family "tRNA", at positions 8 to 63 of the family's 71-position model. From Rfam's summary of the family: Transfer RNA (tRNA) molecules are approximately 80 nucleotides in length. Their secondary structure includes four short double-helical elements and three loops (D, anti-codon, and T loops). Further hydrogen bonds mediate the characteristic L-shaped molecular structure. tRNAs have two regions of fundamental functional importance: the anti-codon, which is responsible for specific mRNA codon recognition, and the 3' end, to which the tRNAs corresponding amino acid is attached (by aminoacyl-tRNA synthetases). tRNAs cope with the degeneracy of the genetic code in two manners: having more than one tRNA (with a specific anti-codon) for a particular amino acid; and 'wobble' base-pairing, i.e. permitting non-standard base-pairing at the 3rd anti-codon position. RNAcentral also lists the same sequence under 5 other names. The record is from Rfam by way of RNAcentral. Lineage: Eukaryota; Metazoa; Chordata; Mammalia; Artiodactyla; Bovidae.
UGGCUCAGUUUGUAAAGGGUCUGCCUGCAAUGCAGGAGACCCAGGUUCAAUUCCUGG